This 497-nucleotide ribosomal RNA is filed under the name uncultured bacterium. Its description in RNAcentral is "partial 16S ribosomal RNA". It matches the Rfam family "Bacterial small subunit ribosomal RNA", at positions 28 to 507 of the family's 1533-position model. The record is from RNAcentral.
GAUGAACGCUGGCGGCGUGCCUAAUACAUGCAAGUCGAGCGAACAGACGAGGAGCUUGCUCCUCUGACGUUAGCGGCGGACGGGUGAGUAACACGUGGAUAACCUACCUAUAAGACUGGGAUAACUUCGGGAAACCGGAGCUAAUACCGGAUAAUAUAUUGAACCGCAUGGUUCAAUAGUGAAAGACGGUUUUGCUGUCACUUAUAGAUGGAUCCGCGCCGCAUUAGCUAGUUGGUAAGGUAACGGCUUACCAAGGCAACGAUGCGUAGCCGACCUGAGAGGGUGGUCGGCCACACUGGAACUGAGACACGGUCCAAACUCCUACGGGAGGCAGCAGUAGGGAAUCUUCCGCAAUGGGCGAAAGCCUGACGGAGCAACGCCGCGUGAGUGAUGAAGGUCUUCGGAUCGUAAAACUCUGUUAUUAGGGAAGAACAAAUGUGUAAGUAACUAUGCACGUCUUGACGGUACCUAAUCAGAAAGCCACGGCUAACUACGUG